This is a long non-coding RNA of Uloborus diversus, 377 nucleotides long. RefSeq lists it as uncharacterized. The transcript has 3 exons. Lineage: Eukaryota; Metazoa; Arthropoda; Arachnida; Araneae; Uloboridae. The record is from RefSeq and is a predicted model, not a curated record.
CGAGGCGUUUAGGGAGCAGAAACGGGGAAAGGUGGUGCAAAUCAGGAGGAAUCAUUUCUUAGAGGAAGAAAAACCAGAAAAAGUGCCAGUGAUGUAGUGCUAUAAGAUUUUCAGUUGGUUUGAAAAGGAUAAUUUAUAUAUGGAGGCUAUAUUUCUUGUCUUUUUCUUUUCCUCUCAACUCAUGUAUUUGAUGAAAUUGAGCAGUUGAUGCAAAGUAUUAUAAGACUGAGAAAAACGCUUGCAGCUGCGUAAUCGGAAAGCAGAAAAAGGAUUGGAUGUGUCUAUAUUGCAUCACCUUAAUAUUUUUCUGAGUCAACUGAAGAACAAUGACGAGUUAGAACUGGUUAAAGCAAGUUCUGAAGAGGUAAUUUUAUGAA